This 2651-nucleotide long non-coding RNA is filed under the name Gossypium raimondii (Peruvian cotton). RNAcentral's name for it is "long non-coding RNA (GRAI_LNC007130)". The record is from RNAcentral. Lineage: Eukaryota; Viridiplantae; Streptophyta; Magnoliopsida; Malvales; Malvaceae.
AACCAGAACAAUCCAAUCAAAAAUGAGUUUUCCAUCAUUGGGCAGAUAACAGCAACGGUAGAAUCACAAUGAAAUCCGAGACAUAAGUGUCUCCAACCCUACAUAACACAGUACAUAGGAAAACUAUGAUCUCCUUAGAAGGGUAUAUACGGAGAAAGCAAAAGGCACAAUGGUCACAAAGGCUCUAAUCAGAUUCAGAUACCAUAAAAGCCUAUAACAACAAUAUAAAAGGACGAUGUAAUGUCAUCAUUGUCAUAAUCAAACAACUCACUAUAUUCAUUCCAAUCUACAGCUUCAGAGUUCAGGGGUAAAAGUAAGCAGAAACAACAAACAAAGAAUACGCCAUAAAACAACUCAUCAUUGGCCACAUAUCAAAGCCUUUGAAAUUCAUAGAGCAUAUGUUAGGCAGAUGGGAAAAAAAGCACUGAAAGGUUUACUAAAGUAUCACAAGUUAACAAACAUGAAAAUUACACAUUGAGGUGUUGAACAGGAAAAAGGUUGACAAGAGUUUUUCAACAACUAAAUGUUUAACACUUCCAAAGCAGCAACUGAAAAUGAGGGAGAUAACAUGAUUGAUGGCCUAUGAAGUGAAUCAAUAAGAGAGAUGAUAAAAGUUCAAAACUGUCCCAAGCAUUUAAAUUAAUAAUAAAUAAGUUUUUAAAAAAGGCAGAGCUGUAUCUCAACUUUUGCACAAUUCUUAGAGAGGCUUUUGAUAAUUUCAUCUAACAACAAAAGACCAUGCAUUGUGAACUGUGAUUAAAAAUAAGAUAUAUUCAGUGAGAUUGACAAAAUCCUUAAGACUAAUGAAGCUAAAGGCUCAUACAAUCCAUCCCAGAGAGACCCUACUACGAAUCAGUAGCAUUACAUUUCCAUAUUAUCCUCAACAAAGGACAAAAUGGACAGCCUAAAAUAACCCCAUUAUAGAAAACUACUAAAUUACCAUGCAUACAACUAUGGGUAUGCAAGAGAAUGAUCGAGAUACAAAUUCUAUGCAGAAAAUAUAAAUAGCAUGUUACAUGUUACAUUACCCAACAAAAGGAUUCAAACGAAAAUAGUAUGAUCAAGAUACAAAUCCUGGUCCAUCUCGAAUAUUACAGUAGCUGGUGGUGGCGGCAAAAAAAAGAUACACAUGUACUUAAAGUAAAAUCAGAGGAAGAAGAAUCGUGAAAAAUAGACACACAUAUUUAUGGUUUGGCACUGUAUAUAGCAUUUAUUAAUGCCAGAAGUCAAAGGAUAAACACCAUACAAGGUUUUCUUUGGACUAAAUUGCCCUCUUUCGAAAAAGUGCAACUAAAUAGAGCCCUCAGAUCUCUCAUAGCUUUGUCAAGAUUAUGUACAGUUCACGGUAAAUUAAUUCAUCAAUAGCUUUUCACACACCACCUUACCACUAAAGAAAUACCUAGUAUAUAUAUAUACAUACACACAAACGUGUGUACGUAGACAGAAGAGGAGGAGGUGGAGGAGGAAGUAGGGAGAGACAGAGAGAGAAUGAAAGGAGGUGGAGUGCAAAAGCCAGAGAUGAAUCAAAAAACAGAACCAUCCAAUCAAAGAUGAGUUUUCCAUCAUUGGCAAAAUAACAGCAACAGUAGAACCACAAUGAAAACUAAGACAUAAGUGUUUAAAACCCUACAUAACAUCGCAGAGAGAAAAAAACUAUGAUCUCCUUGAAAGAGUACACAUUGAGAAAGCAAAAGGCAACAAGGCCACAAUGGCUCUAAUCAAUAUAAAAGGAGGAUGUAAUUCAAAGAAAGUAAAAUUCGCCCAGAUUUCAUUGUUUUUAUAAUUAAACGGUAGAGGAACCCAUUUCUCUCGAUCCAAUCUACAGCUUCGGAGUUCAGACAUAAAAGUAAACAGAAGCAACAAACAAAAGAACUACCCUACAUGACAGCUUCUCAUCAUUGGCCACAGAUCAAAACCUUUGAAAUUCAUCAAGCAAAUUUUACACAGACGCAAUCGAAGGCAUUGAAAGAUUCACUAGACGUACUUUCUUAAGUAUCACCAGACAACAAACAAGAAAAUGGUGGAACAAAAGGCAUCGAGUACAGAUGAGGGAGAUACUAUAAUUGAUGGCAUAUGAAGUUCAUCAAAAAAAUGAGAUGAUUGAAGUUCAAAAACUGCCCCAAAGCAAAUAUAUUAAGCAUUUAAACUAAUAAUAACAUUAAAGACAGCUAAUAUUUCAGUUUUAGCACAACUCUUAGAGAGGCUUUGAAUGAUUUCAUCUAGCAACAAAAGACCUUGCAUUGCAAACUAUGAUUGCAAAUAAGAUAUAUCCAGCGAGAUUGACAAAAUCCAGAAGAUCAAUGAAGCUAAAGACUCGUACAAACCAUCCCAGUGAGACCAUACUACUAAUCAGUAGCAUUAGAUGUUCAUAUUGUACUCGAGAAAGGAAAAAAAGAACAGCCUAAAAAAACCCAUUAUAGAAAACUACUAGAUUAUCAUGCAUUCAAGUAUGGGCAUGCAAGUGUAUGAUCGAGAUGCAAAUGAUAUACAGAAAACAUAAAUAGCAUGAUGAUACGUUACCCAAAGAAUGCAUUCAACCGAAAAUAACAUGAUCAAGAUACAAGUCCUAGUCCAUCUCCAAUAUUACCGUAGCUGGUGGCGGCGGCACAAAAGAGGAAAAAAACAGUAAUGAAGACGUAAGACAGGGAAAG